This is a long non-coding RNA of Sceloporus undulatus (fence lizard), 715 nucleotides long. RefSeq lists it as uncharacterized. NCBI's taxonomy places the organism in Eukaryota, Metazoa, Chordata, Lepidosauria, Squamata, Phrynosomatidae. The transcript has 6 exons. The record is from RefSeq and is a predicted model, not a curated record.
UUGUAUUCAGACAGCUACCUCCGGAGUACUCUGUGGCCGUUUCGACUCACCAAAAGUCUUCAUCAGCAUUAUAGAGUUUUUAAGCCGGAUUAAUAUUGAAAAUUAUGUGUUCCAUUCCACGACAUUCAACAACUUGGCUUCAUUGUGUUUGCAGCUGAACAAUGCUUCAUCACAUAAUGGUGCAGAGAUGUUUGUUCAAUGCUUAAAGAGAAGUGAAAAGGUGUCAAAAAUCUGAAUCAGUGUCACAGCAAGCCCGAGACUUUACGAUACAGGAAGACUCCUGAAACAGGUGAUGGGGUCUCCAUGAAACACCAGGGUUGGAACACAUAAAUGACUUCUUGCAGCAGUGUGAGCAGAUCUUAAGAUGCUGUUUUUGCAGAGUGGUUGCUCGCUACCAAAUCAUGUGACGCAUGCAGCAGGAGGCACACAUUAAAAUGGAGGGAAGAGAAUUCCUUGCUGUAAAUUCUGAGUCAACAUUUGUUAGCAGAGGAAACCUUGAUUGGAAACAUGCAUCAGAAACAGACCAACAGUUUCCCAAGAAUGCAAGGUGAACAGCCCAGAAAAGUGCAAUGGAUAACAACAAAGGAGACUCCGCCACACUGCUAGGUAAUACAUUCCACAGUACAGGCACACGUUUCUAGGAUGAAGGGCCAUCACCUGCCAAAAAUAGUAUUCUACGGUGAACUUGCCAUGGGUCAGCGUAAGAGGGGCGCCC